CCUUGCUAUAUCACAGUUCACUUAUUGCGACUUCACUGUAUUGCCAGUUUAAAAACCCACAAUACUUCACUGUAUGCUUCACUGGAAGGCUACAGCCAGAUUAUAUUACCUAUCUUCAGGCUUUUGCGAUGGAUGCCUUGGUUAUGAGAAAGAUGUCCGACUGUCAUUCUGCAGGGACACCCAUUCUAGUAACACUCUGCCAAGUCAGAAGCAUCUUGUCUAGAAACAUCUCAACAAGCUUUGUUACAUUUUGUGUAGUAUUUAAACAUUCUAUUAUAUAAACUCUGGUGGAUAAAAAGGCAAACAUCAGAACCUGAUAUAAACUUAUUGGGUAGUAGCUUUUGAGGUAACCAUCAAACUAAAAUAUUUGUCAUAAAACUUCUUAUAGACUAACUAGAGACAAAUCAUGGUCUCUAAGAAGUUUCUUAGAAGAAAUCUUGAAGAAACAGACACCAAAUACUAUUAACAUUUUCCUUUUUUACAC
Phyllostomus hastatus (greater spear-nosed bat) is the source of this 484-nucleotide long non-coding RNA. RefSeq lists it as uncharacterized. The transcript has 3 exons. The record is from RefSeq and is a predicted model, not a curated record. Lineage: Eukaryota; Metazoa; Chordata; Mammalia; Chiroptera; Phyllostomidae.